UACGGGGGGGACGAGCGUUGUUCGGAUUUACUGGGCGCAAAGGGCGCGUAGGCGGGUCUUCAAGUCGGAUGUGAAAACUAUCAGCUUAACUGGUAGCCUGCAUUCGAUACUGUUGAUCUUGAGUACGGGAGAGGAGAGUGGAAUUCCAGGUGUAGCGGUGAAAUGCGUAGAUAUCUGGAAGAACACCAGUAGCGAAGGCGGCUCUCUGGACCGAUACUGACGCUCAAGCGCGAAGGCUUGGGGAGCAAACAGG
This 253-nucleotide ribosomal RNA is filed under the name uncultured bacterium. RNAcentral's name for it is "partial 16S ribosomal RNA". It matches the Rfam family "Bacterial small subunit ribosomal RNA", at positions 524 to 776 of the family's 1533-position model. The record is from RNAcentral.